UUUCUUUUGCAAAAGAGUAGAAACCAUGCUUUAGGUCUAUAUUUCUGUAUGUGUAAUAGCAUCCAUGCUCAACACAUAUCAUGCAAUAGAAACCAUGCUCUUAGGUCUUAUGUAUACUGUUUCAGCAUCUCAUUUUGACAUUUUUAUCAUUCAGAAACCUCGUUUUAGGAUAAAGGUGCAUUAAAAGAAAGAUUGCUACUCUUGUACACUUGACAUCAUGCUCUAUAACGCUGUAACUUUUUCUGCAUUUAGAAAUCCUGCUUUAGGAAAUUCCGUAAUCCUACCAUGCAUUUAGAAAUCCUGCUUUAGGAAUUCUGCAUUUAAAUCAUCAUGAACUUUAUACGUGCAUCUUAGAUACCAUGCUUUAGGAUCUCAUUCGUACUUUCUCAAUCACACCUAGUGUAAAUUAUUGAGUAUGAAAGAUGUAAAAAAGAGCUUCACCUUUGAUUAUCCUGUUUAAAAUAAACCGUAACAAUCCCUGCAUUUUAUAACACUUAGAACAGUAUGCUUUAGGUAAAAUAACUCCUUCAUUAUUCUAAUAGGCCUAGUAACAAUUGUGCAUUAUCCUACGCCUAGGCAAGCCUUAGGUAAUCCAAUUUCUUAAAAUUGGAAACUACCCCUUUGUGUGUAC
Molecule: long non-coding RNA, 631 nt
Filed under: Nicotiana benthamiana
Lineage: Eukaryota; Viridiplantae; Streptophyta; Magnoliopsida; Solanales; Solanaceae
Description: long non-coding RNA (NBEN_LNC027204)
Source: RNAcentral